GCUGGUGUAGCUCAGGGGUAGAGCACCCGCCUUGUAAGCGGACGGUCGCAGGUUCAAAUCCCGUCACCAGCU
This 72-nucleotide transfer RNA is filed under the name Snowella sp. Its description in RNAcentral is "tRNA-Thr". It matches the Rfam family "tRNA". From Rfam's summary of the family: Transfer RNA (tRNA) molecules are approximately 80 nucleotides in length. Their secondary structure includes four short double-helical elements and three loops (D, anti-codon, and T loops). Further hydrogen bonds mediate the characteristic L-shaped molecular structure. tRNAs have two regions of fundamental functional importance: the anti-codon, which is responsible for specific mRNA codon recognition, and the 3' end, to which the tRNAs corresponding amino acid is attached (by aminoacyl-tRNA synthetases). tRNAs cope with the degeneracy of the genetic code in two manners: having more than one tRNA (with a specific anti-codon) for a particular amino acid; and 'wobble' base-pairing, i.e. permitting non-standard base-pairing at the 3rd anti-codon position. The record is from RNAcentral. Lineage: Bacteria; Bacillati; Cyanobacteriota; Cyanophyceae; Synechococcales; Coelosphaeriaceae.